GGUUCUGCUUUAGCGCUAGGAUGUUCCAGAAAUUUUGUGUUGGGAGAUCAUGGUGUUCUAGUUGGUGUUUGAUUCUUGGUCUGUCUGACUCUACGUGUAAUUUCCCUUGGUCAUCUCCAGCCCUUCUGUGUAUAACCCGACCUGGCCAGUAUAGAGUGCCCCGGAGUCAUUGUAGUUAAAUUAGCUGCUGCAAUAACUUAUCAGUUACUCUGGGAAAGGUUCUCUGCCUUAAACCUCCCGGCCUCCCAGCCACUGGGAUGCCUUACCCUUAUAUCCUGCCAAUUUGCUCAGGCCAUAACUGCUGGGUCUGGCUGGGAACGAUCAGGCCUUUGCACUGCUUAGAAGAUCAUGGCAAUGGCUCAAGUAAUGCUAAAUCUGCAGGGGUAACCGGGAGCUCAGGGUGCCCCCCUACUUGUCCUAAAACCCUCCUUCCAGACAGAUUUUGGGGGAGCAGAGCUAGUUUUUAUGUAUUCACCAGUCAGUGUAAAUUACUCUUUAACUUACAGCCUAGUGGUUUUCCAAAUGAUACUAUAAAAGUGGGAUUCAUUUCAAGUUUGCUUUAAGGAUCUGUUUCGUGUUCCCAUUAAAUUGACCCUGAAUGCUCAAAGGACAAGCUCAAGACUUUAUUUGCCUCAGCGCUGAUUCUAGUUCACCUGGAUGGACCCUCGACUUUUCUUUUCCAGAUUUCAUUUUCCCAUCACCCUUUGCCCUGGUUCCAAGAAUAGCAACAGUGAUGUACUCUGCAGAUCCCUGGGUCUUGGACCAGGUCUUUAAAAACUGACAUUGCAGUCACGGAUAAGACACUAUUUAUUUCAUCCGCUGUCAGAUGAUAUUUGGAAAAAAAUUAAAAUUUGAAGCUUAAUCUCUUAUUUA
Xenopus tropicalis (tropical clawed frog) is the source of this 873-nucleotide long non-coding RNA. RefSeq lists it as uncharacterized. The transcript is spliced from 2 exons. Lineage: Eukaryota; Metazoa; Chordata; Amphibia; Anura; Pipidae. The record is from RefSeq and is a predicted model, not a curated record.